AAGGAUCACUAGUGAACACAAACUUGGUACUUGCUUCACGGCGAGUACCAAACCCUUCACAUCCACACACACCCUUUGUGCACCGAGUGCUUCAACGACCGACGUUUAAUUACCGACGUUGGAGAGGCAUUCAACCCAACUUUAUAAACUCAGUAUGCAAUGAAUGUAAAACGUUUUUAAUAAACAAACAAAACUUUUAACAACGGAUCUCUUGGUUCUC
RNAcentral lists this unclassified non-coding RNA (220 nucleotides) under uncultured fungus. RNAcentral's name for it is "partial contains 18S rRNA, ITS1, 5.8S rRNA, ITS2 and 28S rRNA". The record is from RNAcentral. Lineage: Eukaryota; Fungi.